GCGCCCUUGGUGUAACGCAUAGCAUACCAGGCUUCGAACCUGGGGAUGAAGGUUGGAUUCCUUCAGGGCGUUCCA
Molecule: transfer RNA, 75 nt
Filed under: Candidatus Saccharimonadota bacterium
Lineage: Bacteria; Candidatus Saccharimonadota
Description: tRNA-Arg
Rfam family: tRNA
About the family: Transfer RNA (tRNA) molecules are approximately 80 nucleotides in length. Their secondary structure includes four short double-helical elements and three loops (D, anti-codon, and T loops).
Source: RNAcentral